AUAUGGUAAUUAGUUUAACUAAAACAAUUGAUUUCGGCUCAUUAAACUAUGAUAAAUUCAUAAUUACCAAC
RNAcentral lists this transfer RNA (71 nucleotides) under Mirza zaza. Its description in RNAcentral is "tRNA-Arg". It matches the Rfam family "tRNA". Rfam says of the family: Transfer RNA (tRNA) molecules are approximately 80 nucleotides in length. The record is from RNAcentral. Lineage: Eukaryota; Metazoa; Chordata; Mammalia; Primates; Cheirogaleidae.